Molecule: ribosomal RNA, 372 nt
Filed under: uncultured bacterium
Lineage: Bacteria
Description: bacterial SSU rRNA
Rfam family: Bacterial small subunit ribosomal RNA
Source: RNAcentral
GUAGGGUGCAAGCGUUGUCCGGAAUUAUUGGGCGUAAAGAGCUCGUAGGCGGUCUGUCACGUCGGCUGUGAAAACCCGAGGCUCAACCUCGGGCCUGCAGUCGAUACGGGCAAACUAGAGUACUGCAGGGGAGACUGGAAUUCCUGGUGUAGCGGUGAAAUGCGCAGAUAUCAGGAGGAACACCGGUGGCGAAGGCGGGUCCCUGGGCAGUAACUGACGCUGAGGAGCGGAAGCGUGGCGAGCGAACAGGAUUAGAUACCCUGGUAGUCCACGCCGUAAACGUUGGGCGCUAGGUGUGGGGGCCAUUCCACGGUCUCCGUGCCGCAGCUAACGCAUUAAGCGCCCCGCCUGGGGAGUACGGCCGCAAGGCUA